Molecule: transfer RNA, 71 nt
Filed under: Candidatus Aeolococcus gillhamiae
Lineage: Bacteria; Bacillati; Candidatus Dormiibacterota; Candidatus Dormibacteria; Candidatus Aeolococcales; Candidatus Aeolococcaceae
Description: tRNA-Lys
Rfam family: tRNA
About the family: Transfer RNA (tRNA) molecules are approximately 80 nucleotides in length. Their secondary structure includes four short double-helical elements and three loops (D, anti-codon, and T loops).
Source: RNAcentral
GCCCCUUUAGCUCAACGGCAGAGCAGCCGGCUUUUAACCGGUUGAUGGAGGUUCGACUCCUCCAGGGGGCA